RNAcentral lists this transfer RNA (88 nucleotides) under Hymenobacter setariae. RNAcentral describes it as "Hymenobacter sp. Fur1 tRNA-Ser". It matches the Rfam family "tRNA". Rfam says of the family: Transfer RNA (tRNA) molecules are approximately 80 nucleotides in length. Their secondary structure includes four short double-helical elements and three loops (D, anti-codon, and T loops). The record is from RNAcentral. Lineage: Bacteria; Pseudomonadati; Bacteroidota; Cytophagia; Cytophagales; Hymenobacteraceae.
AGAGAAGUGGCAGAGUGGUCGAUUGCGUCGGUCUUGAAAACCGAAGACUGUAACAGGUCCGGGGGUUCGAAUCCCUCCUUCUCUGCAA